Molecule: ribosomal RNA, 482 nt
Filed under: uncultured bacterium
Lineage: Bacteria
Description: bacterial SSU rRNA
Rfam family: Bacterial small subunit ribosomal RNA
Source: RNAcentral
GACGAACGCUGGCGGCGUGCCUAACACAUGCAAGUCGAGCGGAGUCGAUCGACGGAAGCCUUCGGGCGGAAGAUGGUUGACUUAGCGGCGGAUGGGUGAGUAACGCGUGGGCAACCUGCCUCGAAGACCGGGAUAACAGCCCGAAAGGGCUGCUAAUACCGGAUGUGGUCAAGGAUCCGCAUGGAUUUUUGAUUAAAGGGGAAACCCGUUUCGAGAUGGGCCCGCGUCCUAUCAGCUAGUUGGUGAGGUAAAAGCCCACCAAGGCGACGACGGGUAGCCGGCCUGAGAGGUGACCGGCCACACUGGAACUGAGACACGGUCCAGACUCCUACGGGGGCAGCAGUGGGGAAUCUUCCACAAUGGGCGAAAGCCUGAUGGAGCGACGCCGCGUGAGCGAAGAAGGCCUUCGGGUUGUAAAGCUCUGUCUGGAGGGACGAAGGAAGUGACGGUACCUCCGGAGGAAGCCACGGCUAACUAACGUG